UGAAGAUGGCACACACACACUGGCAC
RNAcentral lists this non-coding RNA (26 nucleotides) under Rattus norvegicus (Norway rat). The record is from RNAcentral. Lineage: Eukaryota; Metazoa; Chordata; Mammalia; Rodentia; Muridae.